Molecule: ribosomal RNA, 275 nt
Filed under: uncultured bacterium
Lineage: Bacteria
Description: partial 16S ribosomal RNA
Rfam family: Bacterial small subunit ribosomal RNA
Source: RNAcentral
CCUACGGGGGGCAGCAGUGAGGAAUAUUGGUCAAUGGGCGGGAGCCUGAACCAGCCAAGUCGCGUGAGGGAAGACGGUCCUAUGGAUUGUAAACCUCUUUUGUCGGGGAGGAAAGAGAUCACGUGUGGUCAAAAGCGAGAGUACCCGAAGAAAAAGCAUCGGCUAACGCCGUGCCAGCAGCAGCGGUAAUACGGAGGAUGCGAGCGUUAUCCGGAUUUAUUGGGUUUAAAGGAUGCGGAGGCGGGACGGUAAGUCAGCGGUAAAAAAGCGGAGUU